RNAcentral lists this ribosomal RNA (446 nucleotides) under uncultured bacterium. RNAcentral describes it as "partial 16S ribosomal RNA". It matches the Rfam family "Bacterial small subunit ribosomal RNA", at positions 338 to 795 of the family's 1533-position model. The record is from RNAcentral.
CCUACGGGUGGCAGCAGUCGAGAAUCAUUCACAAUGGGGGAAACCCUGAUGGUGCGACGCCGCGUGGGGGAAUGAAGUUCUUCGGAUUGUAAACCCCUGUCAUGUGGGAGCAAAUUAAAAAGAUAGUACCACAAGAGGAAGAGACGGCUAACUCUGUGCCAGCAGCCGCGGUAAUACAGAGGUCUCAAGCGUUGUUCGGAAUCACUGGGCGUAAAGCGUGCGUAGGCUGUUUCGUAAGUCGUGUGUGAAAGGCGCGGGCUCAACCCGCGGACGGCACAUGAUACUGCGAGACUAGAGUAAGGGAGGGGGAACCGGAAUUCUCGGGGUAGCAGUGAAAUGCGUAGAUAUCGAGAGGAACACUCGUGGCGAAGGCGGGUUCCUGGACAGUAACUGACGCUGAGGCACGAAGGCCAGGGGAGCGAAAGGGAUUAGAUACCCGGGUAGUC